UACGGAGGGUGCAAGCGUUAUCCGGAUUCACUGGGUUUAAAGGGUGCGUAGGAGGGCAGGUAAGUCAGUGGUGAAAUCCCCGAGCUUAACUUGGGAACUGCCGUUGAUACUAUCUGUCUUGAAUGUUGUGGAGGUGAGCGGAAUAUGUCAUGUAGCGGUGAAAUGCUUAGAUAUGACAUAGAACACCAAUUGCGAAGGCAGCUCGCUGCACAAUUAUUGACUCUGAUGCACGAAAGCGUGGGGAUCAAACAGG
RNAcentral lists this ribosomal RNA (253 nucleotides) under uncultured bacterium. RNAcentral's name for it is "partial 16S ribosomal RNA". It matches the Rfam family "Bacterial small subunit ribosomal RNA", at positions 524 to 776 of the family's 1533-position model. The record is from RNAcentral.